This 708-nucleotide ribosomal RNA is filed under the name uncultured Gammaproteobacteria bacterium. Its description in RNAcentral is "bacterial SSU rRNA". It matches the Rfam family "Bacterial small subunit ribosomal RNA", at positions 100 to 809 of the family's 1533-position model. Lineage: Bacteria; Pseudomonadati; Pseudomonadota; Gammaproteobacteria. The record is from RNAcentral.
GGACGGUGAGUAAUACAUAGGAAUCUUCCCAGUAGUGGGGGAUACCGGGAGAAAUCACUUUUAUACCGCAUAUGUCCUACGGGACAAAGCAGGUGACUUUGGGCCUUGCGCUACUGGAUGAGCCUAUGUCGGAUUAGCUAGUUGGUAGGGUAAAAGCCUACCAAGGCAACGAUCCGUAGCUGGUCUGAGAGGAUGAUCAGCCACACUGGGACUGAGACACGGCCCAGACUCUUACGGGAGGCAGCAGUGGGGAAUAUUGCACAAUGGGCGCAAGCCUGAUGCAGCAAUGCCGCGUGUGUGAAGAAGGCCUGCGGGUUGUAAAGCACUUUUAUUAGGAAAGAAAAACACGAAGUUAAUACCUUCGUACUUGACGGUACCUAAAGAAUAAGCACCGGCUAACUCAGUGCCAGCAGCCGCGGUAAUACUGAGGGUGCAAGCGUUAAUCGGAAUUACUGGGCGUAAAGCGAGUGUAGGCGGCUAUUUAAGUCGGAUGUGAAAGCCCCGGGCUCAACCUGGGAAUUGCAUUCGAAACUGGAUAGCUAGAGUUUGGUAGAGGUAAGUGGAAUUCCGGGUGUAGCGGUGAAAUGCGUAGAUAUCCGGAGGAACAUCAGUGGCGAAGGCGGCUUACUGGACCAAAACUGACGCUGAGGCUCGAAAGCGUGGGGAGCAAACAGGAUUAGAUACCCUGGUAGUCCACGCCCUAAACGA